This 446-nucleotide ribosomal RNA is filed under the name uncultured bacterium. RNAcentral describes it as "partial 16S ribosomal RNA". It matches the Rfam family "Bacterial small subunit ribosomal RNA", at positions 338 to 795 of the family's 1533-position model. The record is from RNAcentral.
CCUACGGGAGGCAGCAGUCGAGAAUCAUUCACAAUGGGGGAAACCCUGAUGGUGCGACGCCGCGUGGGGGAAUGAAGGUCUUCGGAUUGUAAACCCCUGUCAUGUGGGAGCAAAUUAAAAAGAUAGUACCACAAGAGGAAGAGACGGCUAACUCUGUGCCAGCAGCCGCGGUAAUACAGCGGUCUCAAGCGUUGUUCGGAAUCACUGGGCGUAAAGCGUGCGUAGGCUGUUUCGUAAGUCGUGUGUGAAAGGCGCGGGCUCAACCCGCGGACGGCACAUGAUACUGCGAGACUAGAGUAAGGGAGGGGGAACCGGAAUGCUCGGUGUAGCGGUGAAAUGCGUAGAUAUCGAGAGGAACACUCGUGGCGAAGGCGGGUUCCUGGACAUUAACUGACGCUGAGGCACGAAGGCCAGGGGAGCGAAAGGGAUUAGAUACCCGGGUAGUC